Molecule: transfer RNA, 64 nt
Filed under: Phymorhynchus buccinoides
Lineage: Eukaryota; Metazoa; Mollusca; Gastropoda; Neogastropoda; Raphitomidae
Description: tRNA-Ser
Source: RNAcentral
AGUUGCUCCUGGGGACAAUUUGUCUUGAAAACAAAUUUAAAGUGUUCAAUUCACUUAGCAACUU